GACGAACGCUGGCGGCGUGCUUAACACAUGCAAGUCGAACGGAAAGGCCCCUUUGGGGGUACUCGAGUGGCGAACGGGUGAGUAACACGUGAGUAACCUGCCCUUGACUUCGGGAUAACUUCAGGAAACUGGGGCUAAUACCGGAUAGGAAUCCUUGCUGCAUGGUGGGGGUUGGAAAGCUUCGGCGGUUUUGGAUGGACUCGCGGCUUAUCAGCUUGUUGGUGGGGUAGUGGCUUACCAAGGCUUUGACGGGUAGCCGGCCUGAGGGGGCGACCGGCCACCUUGGGACUGAGAUGCGGCCCAGACUCCUACGGGAGGCAGCAGUGGGGAAGAUUGCAGAAUGGGCGGAAGCCUGAUGCAGCAACGCCGCGGGCGGGAUGACGGCCUUCGGGUUGUAAACCGCUUUCAGCAGGGGCGAAGCUUGUGGUGACGGUACCUGCAGAAGAAGCACCGGCUAACUACGUG
Molecule: ribosomal RNA, 465 nt
Filed under: uncultured bacterium
Lineage: Bacteria
Description: partial 16S ribosomal RNA
Rfam family: Bacterial small subunit ribosomal RNA
Source: RNAcentral